Molecule: ribosomal RNA, 253 nt
Filed under: uncultured bacterium
Lineage: Bacteria
Description: partial 16S ribosomal RNA
Rfam family: Bacterial small subunit ribosomal RNA
Source: RNAcentral
GACGAACCGUCCUAACGUUGUUCGGAAUCACUGGGCUUAAAGGGCGCGUAGGCAGGUUCGCAAGUCCGGGGUGAAAUCUUUCGGCUUAACCGGAAAAGGGCCUUGGAUACUGCGAGUCUCGAGGGAGGUAGGGGCCUGUGGAACUUUGGGUGGAGCGGUGAAAUGCGUUGAUAUCCAAAGGAACGCCGGUGGCGAAAGCGACGGGCUGGACCUCUUCUGACGCUGAGGCGCGAAAGCUAGGAGAGCAAACGGG